AACGCCGAUUGUGAGGUAAGACACUGAGGAAUAAAAAGACCUGGCUCACAAAGUAAUUUAUUGGGUGAAUUGACUAAAAUUCCCAGAGAUAUAAUCCAAAAUCUCACAGAAAGCUUUCCUAGAUGAGUGGUUGCUGUUAUAGGAGCAAUAAGCAGCCAGCUCUAUACUUCUGGCCAUGGUUUACGAAUAGGAUGUCUAACAAACAAGUUUACAUAGGUGUGAUGGGCAGGGGUCUAAUUAACUUUGGUCACAUAGUGUAUUUAUAAUGUUUAAAUGCUCCUAUACAUCUAGAAAUGACUGUCUAGGGCGAAGAGACAGGUACAGACUGUAAAUAAAGAGUAAGGAAACAUGAGAAGAGAGACUACAGGGAUUGGAAAGCGGACAUCAACAAGAACUUAAUUGCUUCCAUAUAGGUCCAUUGGCACUGCCAGGUGAGAAAUCCCACAACAAUGCACGGAGCAAAGUGUAUUCGUAAAUAGAGUGCAAAGGCAAGGAGCCCUACGGGAAAUCACCUGGUAUAGCAUGAUUCCCAAAAAGAUGCAGACUGGUCUCUUUAACAUGAAAGGUAAGGCAUUUAGUAAUCGAGUCCGACAAUAAAUAACGAAUUGGUAAAUAAUGGAGCAGAAACCUUUCUUUCUGAGACAUUAAUGAAUUGUCUUCGUGCUUGGAAAUGUAACUGUCCUUUUCCAACAGGAGGGUAGAUUAAACUCAGAGCAUCCCAUAAUCACCCCACUUAGGCAGAGAGACAGGACUGAACAAGGCUCUCCAGAUUUCCUCAGGCCCCC
Non-coding RNA from Pelobates cultripes (western spadefoot toad), 785 nucleotides. The record is from the annotation of a GenBank genome assembly. Lineage: Eukaryota; Metazoa; Chordata; Amphibia; Anura; Pelobatidae.